UUGAGAAUUUUUCCUUGGAAUGGGUGU
RNAcentral lists this small RNA (27 nucleotides) under Bombyx mori (domestic silkworm). RNAcentral describes it as "ovarian small RNA-4119". Lineage: Eukaryota; Metazoa; Arthropoda; Insecta; Lepidoptera; Bombycidae. The record is from RNAcentral.